RNAcentral lists this ribosomal RNA (497 nucleotides) under uncultured bacterium. RNAcentral describes it as "partial 16S ribosomal RNA". It matches the Rfam family "Bacterial small subunit ribosomal RNA", at positions 28 to 507 of the family's 1533-position model. The record is from RNAcentral.
GAUGAACGCUGGCGGCGUGCUUAAUACAUGCAAGUCGAGCGAACGGACGCUAAUCUUGUUUCUCUGAUGUUAGCGGCGCACGUGUGUGUAACACGUGUAUAACCUACCUAUAAGACUGGGAUAACUUCGGGAAACCGGCGCUAAUACCGUAUAAUAUUUUGCUCCGCAUGGUUCAAAAGUGAAAGACGGUCUUGCUGUCAGUUAUCGAUGGUUCCGCGCUGCAUUAGCUGGUUGGUAAGGUAACGGCUUACCAAGGCAACGAUGCAUAGCCGACCUGAGAGGGUGAUCGGCCACACUGGAACUGAGACACGGUCCAGACUCCUACGGGAGGCAGCAGUAGGGAAUGGUCCGCAAUGGGCGAAAGCCUGACGGAGCAACGCCGCGUGAGUGAUGAAGGUCUUCGGAUCGUAAAACUCUGUUAUGAGGGAAAAACAUAUGUGUAAGUAACUGUGCACAUCUUGACGGUACCUAAUCAGAAAGCCACGGCUAACUACGUG